GAACAAGAGUUUCGAUGUAUGUCAUGAAUAUGUUGCAGAGGAAGGAAGAGAGCUCUACGAGUUGGUAGCACAUUUGCCUGACAAAGCUAAUAACUAUUUAACACCUGCAUUGUCUGUUUUGGAGAAGAACACUUGAUCAUCCUCUAAGAAAUCCGCCAUUAUUAUCGAUUCACACCCCUGCAAAAAGAGAAAGAAGAAAAAAGAUGUAUAUUUCUCGGAUGUUCAUAAUAGAAUGUAUCUUUUCUACUUCUCAGCCAUAAAAUUACAGCUUCUGCGUCUUUUCUUUCUGUAAAUCGAUAUGAAUGUAUAUGGAAACACAUGAAA
Non-coding RNA from Carica papaya (papaya), 324 nucleotides. The record is from RefSeq and is a predicted model, not a curated record. NCBI's taxonomy places the organism in Eukaryota, Viridiplantae, Streptophyta, Magnoliopsida, Brassicales, Caricaceae.